GACGAACGCUGGCGGCGUGCUUAACACAUGCAAGUCGAACGGAAAGGCCCUGCUUUUGUGGGGUGCUCGAGUGGCGCACGGGUGUGUAACACGUGAGUAACCUGCUCUUGACUUUGGUAUAACUUCAGGAAACUGGGGCUAAUACCGGAUAGGAGCUCCUGCUGCAUGUUGGGGGUUGGAAAUUUUCGGCGGGUGGGGAUGGACUCGCGGCUUAUCAGCUUGUUGGUGGGGUAGUGGCUUACCAAGGCUUUGACGGGUAGCCGGCCUGGGAGGGUGACCGGCCACAUUGGGCCUAGGGAAGGGCCAAGCUCCCAACGGGGGGCAGAAGUGGGGAAUAUUGCACAAUGGGCGGAAGCCUGAGGCGGCAACCCCGGGGGCGGGAUACCGGCCUUCGGGUGGUAAACCGCUUUCGCCUGUGACGAAGCGUGAGUGACGGUAAUGGGUAAAGAAGCACCGGCUAACUACGUG
RNAcentral lists this ribosomal RNA (468 nucleotides) under uncultured bacterium. RNAcentral's name for it is "partial 16S ribosomal RNA". It matches the Rfam family "Bacterial small subunit ribosomal RNA", at positions 28 to 507 of the family's 1533-position model. The record is from RNAcentral.